Molecule: ribosomal RNA, 497 nt
Filed under: uncultured bacterium
Lineage: Bacteria
Description: partial 16S ribosomal RNA
Rfam family: Bacterial small subunit ribosomal RNA
Source: RNAcentral
GAUGAACGCUGGCGGCGUGCCUAAUACAUGCAAGUCGAGCGAACGGACGAGAAGCUUGCUUCUCUGAUGUUAGCGGCGGACGGGUGAGUAACACGUGGAUAACCUACCUAUAAGACUGGGAUAACUUCGGGAAACCGUAGCUAAUACCGGAUAAUAUUUUGAACCGCAUGGUUCAAAAGUGAGAGACGGUCUUGCUGUCACUUAUAGAUGGAUCCGCGCUGCAUUAGCUAGUUGGUAAGGUAACGGCUUACCAAGGCAACGAUGCAUAGCCGACCUGAGAGGGUGAUCGGCCACACUGGAACUGAGACACGGUCCAGACUCCUACGGGAGGCAGCAGUAGGUAAUCUUCCGCAAUGGGCGAAAGCCUGACGGAGCAACGCCGCGUGAGUGAUGAAGGUCUUCGGAUCGUGAAGCUCUGUUAUGAGGGAAGAACAUAUGUGUACGUAACUGUGCACAUCUUGACGGUACCUAAUCAGAAAGCCACGGCUAACUACGUG